GACGAACGCUGGCGGCGUGCUUAACACAUGCAAGUCGAACGGAAAGGCCCUGCUUUUGUGGGGUGCUCGAGUGGCGAACGGGUGAGUAACACGUGAGUAACCUGCCCUUGACUUUGGGAUAACUUCAGGAAACUGGGGCUAAUACCGGAUAGGAGCUCCUGCUGCAUGGUGGGGGUUGGAAAGUUUCGGCGGUUGGGGAUGGACUCGCGGCUUAUCAGCUUGUUGGUGGGGUAGUGGCUUACCAAGGCUUUGACGGGUAGCCGGCCUGAGAGGGUGACCGGCCCCAUUGGGGGGGGGGUACGCCCCAGACCCCAUGGGGGGGCAGGGGGGGGAAUGUUGCCGAAUGGGGCGGAGCCGGGACGCAAGGACGGCGGUGGGGGGUGGACGGCCUUUGGGUUGUAAUCAGGUUUGCCUGGAGACGAAGGGUUGGGGGCGUGAAUGGGUAAAAAAGCACCGCUGAAUGCGUG
This 467-nucleotide ribosomal RNA is filed under the name uncultured bacterium. Its description in RNAcentral is "partial 16S ribosomal RNA". It matches the Rfam family "Bacterial small subunit ribosomal RNA", at positions 28 to 507 of the family's 1533-position model. The record is from RNAcentral.